GUUUACUCGUGUGGCCCUCUUGAGAUCAGAUUAAGCUGUAUGCGGCCCCUCAACCAAAAUGAGUUUGACACCCCUGCUCUAAAGGGUCCUGGUUUUGAAGCAGAGGAAAAUGACAUCCAGACCAAUGAAGGAGAUGCUCAGACUGAAAGAAGCAAAUGAGAAACAGAAGAGAAAUAGCAGAAGUAAUGGAAGAUGCACAGCUGAGGUCUCAUGGAAACAUGUCCAGGAACACAAACUAGACCACAAAUCUAGACUCUGUAGAUGAUGCAAUCAUCACAAAAUAAAAUAUAAACAUCUCUUGUGAAACAG
This is a long non-coding RNA of Fundulus heteroclitus (mummichog), 309 nucleotides long. RefSeq lists it as uncharacterized. The transcript is spliced from 3 exons. The record is from RefSeq and is a predicted model, not a curated record. Lineage: Eukaryota; Metazoa; Chordata; Actinopteri; Cyprinodontiformes; Fundulidae.